This 468-nucleotide ribosomal RNA is filed under the name uncultured bacterium. Its description in RNAcentral is "partial 16S ribosomal RNA". It matches the Rfam family "Bacterial small subunit ribosomal RNA", at positions 28 to 507 of the family's 1533-position model. The record is from RNAcentral.
GACGAACGCUGGCGGCGUGCUUAACACAUGCAAGUCGAACGGAAAGGCCCUGCUUUUGUGGUGUGCUCGAGUGGCGAACGGGUGAGUAACACGUGAGUAACCUGCCCUUGACUUUGGGAUAACUUCAGGAAACUGGGGCUAAUACCGGAUAGGAGCUCCUGCUGCAUGGUGGGGGUUGGAAAGUUUCGGCGGUUGGGGAUGGACUCGCGGCUUAUCAGCUUGUUGGUGGGGUAGUGGCUUACCAAGGCUUUGACGGGUCGCCGGCCUGAGAGGGUGACCGGCCACAUUGGGCCUGAGAGACGGCCCAGACUCCAACGGGAGGCAGCAGUGGGGAAUAUUGCAAAAUGGGCGGAAGCCUGAUGCAGCAACGCCGCGUGCGGGAUGACGGCCUUCGGGUUGAAAACCGCUUUGGCCUGUGACGAAGAGUGAGUGACGGUAAUGGGUAAAGAAGCACCGGCUAACUACGUG